This 496-nucleotide ribosomal RNA is filed under the name uncultured bacterium. RNAcentral's name for it is "partial 16S ribosomal RNA". It matches the Rfam family "Bacterial small subunit ribosomal RNA", at positions 28 to 506 of the family's 1533-position model. The record is from RNAcentral.
GACGAACGCUGGCGGCGUGCCUAAUACAUGCAAGUAGAACGCUGAAGCGAGGAGCUUGCUCUUCUUGGAUGAGUUGCGAACGGGUGAGUAACGCGUAGGUAACCUGCCUUGUAGCGGGGGAUAACUAUUGGAAACGAUAGCUAAUACCGCAUAACAAUGGAUGACACAUGUCAUUUAUUUGAAAGGGGCAAUUGCUCCACUACAAGAUGGACCUGCGUUGUAUUAGCUAGUAGGUGAGGUAAUGGCUCACCUAGGCGACGAUACAUAGCCGACCUGAGAGGGUGAUCGGCCACACUGGGACUGAGACACGGCCCAGACUCCUACGGGAGGCAGCAGUAGGGAAUCUUCGGCAAUGGGGGCAACCCUGACCGAGCAACGCCGCGUGAGUGAAGAAGGUUUUCGGAUCGUAAAGCUCUGUUGUAAGUCAAGAACGGGUGUGAGAGUGGAAAGUUCACACUGGGACGGGAGCUUACCAGAAAGGGACGGCGAACUACGG